UACAAAGAGUUAACAGUCACCAGCUUCGCUAAAGAAUUCAUCAGCAGCCAGAGCAGGGUCACGUGUUGGACUCUCCCGUGCGCUCGGCACACCUAAUGUAAUCCUACAGAGGUCUGUGGUUGUGCUUGGCACUUGUAGUCUUUAUUUAUAUUCUGUAGUCUCAUGUAGUCCUUGUUUUGAUGUAGCAUCAUGGUCCUGGGAGGAUGUCAUUUCAUUUCACUAUACUGCUGUUGACUGACACCGACUUGAAGACUGGACCAUGCAUACAUUCAACAAAGACCCAAGAGUCCGCAUGUUUUCCAAUUCUGUACAGCCAGCGCCAACACAAUAAUAUGUGGCCAAAUCUGCAUUCUAUAAAACACAAUAAAGAUUUACAUGUCAUUAAGAAUUUAUAUCGUAUUUAUGAUCCUCAGCAGAUCAGUUUAGCUCGUGCCUGGUGAUCUGUCUGAAGAAAGACGAGAGUAGGAGCACAAAACUGGUUUUGCAAGCACCACUAAACAGUGUAUUUUUCUUCAUCUACGAUUGUAACUGCUCCUCCUAUCACCGGUGCAACUGGCAGAUUAACAGGCAGGCUGUGAAUAUGAACUGGAAGUUGCAAAGUUAUGGAGAGCUGAGACUCAAGGGACUGGGGGUAAAAUGGUGCAGAGCUGGGCAGCAGAUGGCUCAUCUCCAAGCUUUCAGGAUCCCAGUCAGCCUUGCCAAAUAGGAACAGGUGCUGGAGAAAGUAGGAAGUGAGCUGUGGGCCCCAGUGGCAGCAGGAGACCCUUGACCAGCUGUUUCUGAGGAAAAGGGGCUGAUUUCCAGCUGGACCUCUGUGUGGAUUCCUGCACAACAUAAUGCCUUCUAGUGGCUGAGGAAGUAGCCACCAUCGCCCACCGACCAGCCCAGGAGUG
Monopterus albus (swamp eel) is the source of this 893-nucleotide long non-coding RNA. RefSeq lists it as uncharacterized. The record is from RefSeq and is a predicted model, not a curated record. The transcript has 4 exons. NCBI's taxonomy places the organism in Eukaryota, Metazoa, Chordata, Actinopteri, Synbranchiformes, Synbranchidae.